CUGGUAGAACUGCUUCCCUGUGAUUUUGUGGUCAAAGCCCAGCCAGCUGAACUUGAUCUUCACACUGAGAAAGCAGAGGAGGAGAGGGGGAUGAAAAGGAGACAUAAAGGAAUUGCUCCUUUCCUGCACACAAGCAGAGGUCCAACCAAUCCAGAGGUGGUGUCCUUGGCAGGAUCGGUGCCAGAGAAGUACAAGUAGGGAAUACAGGGAGAGUCAUAUGAAGACGGGCCUUCCAGUACCUGCCAGAUGUAGGUGAAGUUCUGACCUGGACCAACGUGGGAGCCUGGCUUGUUAACACCUACAGUAAUGCAGACAUAGAACUAAAAUGAUCAGGCCCGCUAGAAUUAGCAUCAGUUGAAGAAGUUGUGAUUCUCCCAUCACUUUGCUUAGUGCCUAAAAACAAUAGUAACUGUAUUGUUGUCAUUAUGCAUGUUGUCAGCUUGAAUGAUUUAAAACAACUGAUUUUUAGAAAUAGGCUUCUGCUAUUUAAGAAUGCACCCAAAAAACUUGCAAUGUCUGUCUUCUUUCACAUUCUAGUUCAGGCACAAACAUUUUUUUUGGUUUACUUUACUUUGUGUUACUAAUUGUUACCAUUUUGAAUUUGUGCAUACAUUUUCAUCUCGUCAAACUUUUCAGCAAGAAUUCUCCCAGUUAAGACAAUUCUGUGACCAAUUAA
Long non-coding RNA from Acanthochromis polyacanthus (spiny chromis), 676 nucleotides. RefSeq lists it as uncharacterized. NCBI's taxonomy places the organism in Eukaryota, Metazoa, Chordata, Actinopteri, Pomacentridae. The transcript is spliced from 2 exons. The record is from RefSeq and is a predicted model, not a curated record.